GUCCAGUCUAAACACUUUUAAAUACCACAAAUCCACAAUAACAAAAAUUAAUAUGGAAGAAAAACAAGACAGAGGAAUUAUUCAAAAAUAAACCUUUACACUGAGGAAUACAUUUUUUUAAGUACUGGUAAAGGUGUGCAAGAAUUAUUUACAUUUAUGAGACACAAAUAUUUGCGACAUAAAUAAUCAGGACUAGUUAAAUUGCUUUCAUUGUAGCAGUGGCAAAUGCCUUUUACAAAUACGCUGAUAUGAAAUGCCCAAAGAGAAUAGAUAGCAAUUGUACACAAACAUCUGUGAAGUUCCAAUACAUUACCAAACAAAAACGUUGUUUAAACAGGAACCGCCUUAACGAAGUGAGUGAUAGAAUUUAUGAAAAUAUCAUACAAAAUACAAUAGGCCGAGACACAAUGAAAUGCAAAAAGAACGUCAAAAAAAAAAAAAACAAAAAAAAAAACGCCUCUCUUACCUCAUCUUCAUUUUCUGUAACGUCAAUUGUUAUCAUGCUCGAGCCAAAAUGAAAACUGCGCUCCUUUUUCAGAGUCCCACCAGCAGGAAGCGUGUUUUCAUUAUAAGAGCUCACAAACUUAAAGUCACUGGUGCGCGAGCCGGUGGUUAGAUACGCGUCAUAAUUGUAAGAGCUGCGGAGAGUUCCUGCUCCAUCCACCUCUGCAUAGUUGGGAGGGAGAUAGGCGCUGGGAACAGCAACUGCUCCAUCAAACAACAGUCUGGGCUUUCUCCUGUGACAAAACUUUACUGCCACAAUCAGUAUGAUGAACGUCAGGAAGAAGGUGGACACGCAAACUAAUGCAAUGAUCAAAUAUGACGUCAGUUUAGAGUUGCUGUCCUCAUAAGUCAUAUCUUUAAGUUCAGGAACUUCAGAAAGGUUGUCAGAAAUGAGUAAAUUUACAGCACAGGUUGUAGACAGAGAGGGCUGACCGUUGUCCUUCACUGAAAUAACAAGGUUCUGCUUCAUAUUGUCAGAUUCAGAAAUGUCUCGUUGUGUUUUGAUGUCUCCACUAUGGAGACCAAUGGAGAAAAGUCCAGGAUCAGUAGAUUUGACAAUCUGAUAGGACAGCCAUGCAUUCUGUCCAGAGUCAGCAUCUACAGCGAUUACCUUGGACACCAGAGAGCCUGAGAGAGUCGCUUUAGGGACCAUUUCUGUCAUUAAAGACUUUCCAUCAGGAACAGGGUAUAAUAUCUGUGGAGAGUUAUCAUUCUCAUCUGUUAUGAAGACUUUCACAGUCACGUUACUGCUCAGCGGUGGAGAUCCAUUGUCUCUGGCAACAGCUUUGGCAGUGAAGUUUCUGAACUGCUCAUAGUCAAAUGAUCUUACAGCAUGAAUCACCCCUGUAUCUCCAUUAAUAGAUAGAAAUGAGGACACUGGGAUCCCGUUGACUUCACUGGGAACCAGAGAGUACAGUACAGUCCCGUUCUGUUUCCAGUCUGGGUCAUUUGCACUGACAGAACAAACAGAAGUGCCUGGUUUGUUAUUUUCACUUAUAUAAACAGCAUAUGUCUGUAACUCAAAUGUAGGGGAGUUGUCGUUGAUGUCUGAAACUUGUAUGUUCAGAGUUAGAUUCGAGAAUAAGGGGGGUGUACCUCCAUCCGUUGCUGUUAUUGUUACAUUAUAAUUUUCGAUUUGCUCCCGAUCAAGCGAACGAGUUGUAGUGAUAAUGAAAUAAGACUUGAUGUACGGCUGUAGUUGAAAUGGCAGACUUGAAGAAAUGGAGCAACUAACCCGGCUGUUUUCACCGGAAUCUUGGUCCUUCACGUUUAUUACAGCGAUCUCUGAACCAGGUGGAAUGUUUUCUGGGAUUUGUUUUUUCAGAGACUUUACUGAUAUAACAGGCGCGUUAUCAUUUAUGUCAUCUAUUUCAAUAACAACUUUACAGUGGCCUGUCUGACCUCCACCGUCCUCCGCCUGCACUUCCAUCUCGUACAACGAGGACUUGUCGUGGUCCAUCUGUCCAAUUACAGAUAUUUCUCCAUAAUUUUCGUCAAUUUUAAACAAUUCUUUUGUGUUGUCAGAUAGGUGAUUGAUAUAAUACGUUAUUUGUCCAUUUGCGCCCUCAUCAACAUCGGUCGCAGCAAUUCUGAUGACAGACGUUCCGAGUGCUGCAUUUUCGGAUAAACGAGUUUUGUACAAAGGCUGCGAAAAUACUGGUGCAUUAUCAUUCACGUCUAUCACGAACACUUCAAUAACAACAGUUCCAGAUUUCGGAGGAUUUCCCCCAUCCACCGCAGACAAUAUUAAGGAAUGCUCUCCCUUUGUCUCUCUAUCCAGGCUGUUUUUCAAAACAAUGUCCACAUACCUGUCUUUAUUUGAUUUUGUAUCAAGGACAAAAUAUUUGUUUUAACUAAGAAUAUAGGUCUGGACUGAAUUUAUUCCAACAUCCAAAUCGCGUGCACAAGCUAUUUGUAAUUUACUUCCGGUAGGUGCUGCUUCGCUUAUCUCUAGCUUAAUUGAAUCUUUAGGGAAAACAGGAGGGUUGUCAUUGAUAUCCUGGACCUCCAAAACAAUGUUAUGAAGCUCUAAAGGAUUUUCAAGAAUAAAUUCAAAGUGCACGAGGCAGGAGGAGGUCGUUCCGCACAGCAUCUCUCGGUUGAUCCUUUCUGAAACAAAAAGAUUUCCAGAAUCUAGGUCUACUUCACAAUAUAUUUUAUCCCCUUGGUAAUCCAAACGGGCUUUGCGAAACCUCAAGCGAUCGGAAUCCAUAUUAAGGUCCUUACUUAGACUUCCAAUAACAUAUUUUGUCUUUGUUUCCUCCGGCACAGAAUAACGAACAUCAGCAGCGGCAAUGCAGAAGAGAAGCGAUGUUAUCCAUAAUCGCCAUUUGGCCAAACGCAGUUUAGACAUUUUCGCCAUAUUUUCUUGGUGUAAUAAAGUAAAGCGUUGUUUUGAAACGCUGUUCACAAACAACCGAUUUAUUUCGUCGUCGUCUGCAUUGCUCUUUUGGACAAAUGUUAACAGAACAGAAAGAUUCCCGCACCAAUGGG
This is a long non-coding RNA of Cyprinus carpio carpio, 2997 nucleotides long. The record is from Ensembl. NCBI's taxonomy places the organism in Eukaryota, Metazoa, Chordata, Actinopteri, Cypriniformes, Cyprinidae.